Molecule: long non-coding RNA, 2151 nt
Organism: Mytilus californianus (California mussel)
Lineage: Eukaryota; Metazoa; Mollusca; Bivalvia; Mytilida; Mytilidae
Exons: 2
Source: RefSeq, a predicted model, not a curated record
AAAACCACAAACAAUAAAAUGCUCCGCAGGGAGCAGCUUGAUACGACCGCAGAGGUCGAACCCUGAACAGUUGGGGCAAGUAUGGACACAACAUUCAAGCUGGAUACAGCUCUGAAUUUGGAUUGUGAUUAAAUAUUUGACACAGCAUAGGUUUCUGACACAGAAAGAAUGUGGUCUAAGAACUUCAAUUUUUUUAAUUUACCUAUUAUGGUCCAAUGUCCAAAAUCAAAAUACAUGGUUAGAUUCAGCAUAUCAAAGAACCCCAUAUAUUCAAUUUUUGUUGAAAUCAAACAAAGUUUAAUUUUGGACCCCAACUUGGACAAACUUGAAAACUGGUCCCAUAAUCAAAAAUCUAAACACAUGUUUAGAUUCAGCAUAUCAAAGUACCCUAAGAAUUCAAUUUUUGUUAAAAUCAAACUAAGUUUAAUUUUGGACCCUUUGGACCUUAAUGUAGACCAAUUUAAAAAACAGGACCCAAAAUUAAAAAUCUAAAAACACGGUUAGAUUUGGCAUAUCAAAGAACCCCAAUAAUUCAAUUUUUGAUGAAAUCAAACAAAGUUUAAUUUUGGACCCUUUUGACCUCAAUAUGAACCAAUUUGAUAGUGGGCCCACAAAUAAAAAAUCUAAAUACAUGGUAAGAUUCAGCAUAUCAAAGAACCCCAUAUAUUCAAUUUUUGUUGAAAUCAAACAAAGUUUAAUUUUGGACCCCAAUUUGGACCAACUUGAAAACUGGGCCAAAAAUCUAAAAUCUAAAUACAUGUUUACAUUCAGCAUAUCAAAGAACCCCAUAUAUUCAAUUUUUGUUGAAAUCAAACAAAGUUUAAUUUUGGACCCCAACUUGGACCAACUUGAAAACUGGUCCCAUAAUCAAAAAUCUAAACACAUGUUUAGAUUCAGCAUAUCAAAGAACCCCAAAAAUUCAAUUUUUGUUAAAAUCAAACUAAGUUUAAUUUUGGACCCUUUGGACCUUAAUGUAGACCAAUUUAAAAAACAGGACCCAAAAUUAAAAAUCUAAAUACACGGUUAGAUUUGGCAUAUCAAAGAACCCCAAUAAUUCAAUUUUUGAUGAAAUCAAACAAAGUUUAAUUUUGGACCCUUUUGACCUCAAUAUGAACCAAUUUGAUAGUGGGCCCACAAAUAAAAAAUCUAAAUACAUGGUAAGAUUCAGCAUAUCAAAGAACCCCAUAUAUUCAAUUUUUGUUGAAAUCAAACAAAGUUUAAUUUUGGACCCCAAUUUGGACCAACUUGAAAACUGGGCCAAAAAUCUAAAAUCUAAAUACAUGUUUAGAUUCAGCAUAUCAAAGAACCCCAUAUAUUCAAUUUUUGUUGAAAUCAAACAAAGUUUAAUUUUGGACCCCAACUUGGACCAACUUGAAAACUGGGCCCAUAAUCAAAAAUCUAAACACAUGUUUAGAUUCAGCAUAUCAAAGAACCCUAAGAAUUCAAUUUUUGUUAAAAUCAAACUAAGUUUAAUUUUGGACCCUUUGGACCUUAAUGUAGACCAAUUUAAAAAACGGGACCCAAAAUUAAAAAUCUAAAUACACGGUUAGAAUCGGCAUAUCAAAGAACCCCAAUAAUUCAAUUUUUGAUGAAAUCAAACAAAGUUAAAUUUUGGACCCUUUGGACCUCAAUGUGGAAUAAUUUAAAAACGGGGCCCAAAAUCCAAAAACUUAAUACACAGUUAGAUUCAGCAUAUUAAAGAACCCCAAGAAUUCAAGAAUAAAACCCCAUUGAAAUUGAUCAAGAAAUAAGCAAUUUAUACGAAGUAUCUUCUUUUGCACAAUACUGUGCAAUUGAAUAUUUCUUGCUAUUGCGCAAUACUGUACAAUUGACAAUUUCUUGCUAUUGCGCAAUAUUGUGCUAUUGGAUAUUUCUUGCUAUUGCGCAAUACUGUUAAAUUGAAGAUUUCUUGCUAUUGCGCAAUACUGUGCAAUUGAAGAUUUCUUGCUAUUGUGCAAUACUGUGCAAUUGAAAAUUUCUUGCUAUUGCACAAUACUUAUUAUAUAAUAAUUUACACAUCCUGUUUGGUGUGUAUCUCCUACCAUAUCAUUAUUAUUUGCUUUUAAAUAUAAAUCAGAAAUAACCAACUUAAAAUGGAACAUUUUAAAAGAAAAAAAAAAGGAAUAAAAAGAAAAAAAAAAAAAAAAAAAA